ACCUGACUGCUAUCGGAUUGAUACUAAGCCAUGCGAGUCAUUGUAGCAAUACAAGGCAUACGGCUCAGUAACGCGUAGUCAACCUAACCUAUGGACGGGAAUAACCUCGGGAAACUGAGAAUAAUGCCCGAUAGAACAUUAUGCCUGGAAUGGUUUAUGUUCCAAAUGAUUUAUCGCCGUAGGAUGGGACUGCGGCCUAUCAGUUUGUUGGUGAGGUAAUGGCCCACCAAGACUAUUACAGGUACGGGCUCUGAGAGGAGUAGCCCGGAGAUGGGUACUGAGACACGGACCCAGGCCCUAUGGGGCGCAGCAGGCGAGAAAACUUUGCAAUGUGCGAAAGCACGACAAGGUUAAUCCGAGUGGUUCCUGCUAAAGGAACCUUUUGUUAGUCCUAGAACCACUAACGAAUAAGGGGUGGGCAAGUUCUGGUGUCAGCCGCCGCGGUAAAACCAGCACCUCAAGUGGUCAGGAUGAUUAUUGGGCCUAAAGCAUCCGUAGCCGGCUCUGUAAGUUUUCGGUUAAAUCUGUACGCUUAACGUACAGGCUGCCGGGAAUACUGCAGAGCUAGGGAGUGGGAGAAGUAGACGGUACUCGGGAGGAAGUGGUAAAAUGCUUUGAUCUAUCGAUGACCACCUGUGGCGAAGGCGGUCUACCAGAACACGUCCGACGGUGAGGGAUGAAAGCUGGGGGAGCAAACCGGAUUAGAUACCCGGGUAGUCCCAGCUGUAAACUAUGCAAACUCAGUGAUGCAUUGGCUUGUGGCCAAUGCAGUGCUGCAGGGAAGCCGUUAAGUUUGCCGCCUGGGAAGUACGUACGCAAGUAUGAAACUUAAAGGAAUUGGCGGGGGAGCACCACAAGGGGUGAAGCCUGCGGUUC
This 876-nucleotide ribosomal RNA is filed under the name uncultured crenarchaeote. RNAcentral describes it as "bacterial SSU rRNA". It matches the Rfam family "Archaeal small subunit ribosomal RNA", at positions 21 to 903 of the family's 1478-position model. The record is from RNAcentral. Lineage: Archaea; Thermoproteati; Thermoproteota.